Molecule: ribosomal RNA, 497 nt
Filed under: uncultured bacterium
Lineage: Bacteria
Description: partial 16S ribosomal RNA
Rfam family: Bacterial small subunit ribosomal RNA
Source: RNAcentral
GAUGAACGCUGGCGGCGUGCCUAAUACAUGCAAGUCGAGCGAACAGACGAGGAGCUUGCUCCUCUGACGUUAGCGGCGGACGGGUGAGUAACACGUGGAUAACCUACCUAUAAGACUGGGAUAACUUCGGGAAACCGGAGCUAAUACCGGAUAAUAUAUUGAACCGCAUGGUUCAAUAGUGAAAGACGGUUUUGCUGUCACUUAUAGAUGGAUCCGCGCCGCAUUAGCUAGUUGGUAAGGUAACGGCUUACCAAGGCAACGAUGCGUAGCCGACCUGAGAGGGUAAUAGGCCACACUGGAACUGAGACACGGUCCAGACUACUACGGGAGGCAGCAGUAGGGAAUCUUCCGCAAUGGGCGAAAGCCUGACGGAGCAACGCCGCGUGAGUGAUGAAGGUCUUCGGAUCGUAAAACUCUGUUAUUAGGGAAGAACAAAUGUGUAAGUAACUAUGCACGUCUUGACGGUACCUAAUCAGAAAGCCACGGCUAACUACGUG